AGCAGGACAGACGGUCGCUGCCGGCAGGCCGAAAGGCGCCGGGAGAGGAAAGUCCGGGCUUCACACGGCAGGAUGCCGGAUAACGUCCGGUGGAGGUGACUCCCAGGCUAGUGCAACAGAAAUGUACCGCCGGGACUUUUCCCGGUAAGGUUGGAAGGGCGGUGUAAGAGACCACCGCGCAUCUGGCAACAGGUGCGGCACAUGUAAACCCCAUCCGAAGCAAGGCCGAACAGGGGCGCGGAGAAAUCCACACGCUGCCCGCCAGUCCCAGGUAGGCCGCUUGAGCCGUCUGGCAACAGACGGCCUAGAUAGAUGAUCGUCCAAGACAUAACCCGGCUUAUCGUCCUGCUCA
Molecule: RNase P RNA, 352 nt
Filed under: bovine gut metagenome
Description: Bacterial RNase P class A
Rfam family: Bacterial RNase P class A
About the family: Ribonuclease P (RNase P) is a ubiquitous endoribonuclease, found in archaea, bacteria and eukarya as well as chloroplasts and mitochondria. Its best characterised activity is the generation of mature 5'-ends of tRNAs by cleaving the 5'-leader elements of precursor-tRNAs. Cellular RNase Ps are ribonucleoproteins.
Source: RNAcentral